Molecule: ribosomal RNA, 465 nt
Filed under: Vreelandella stevensii
Lineage: Bacteria; Pseudomonadati; Pseudomonadota; Gammaproteobacteria; Oceanospirillales; Halomonadaceae
Description: partial 16S ribosomal RNA
Rfam family: Bacterial small subunit ribosomal RNA
Source: RNAcentral
CCUACGGGAGGCUGCAGUGGGGAAUAUUGGACAAUGGGGGGAACCCUGAUCCAGCCAUGCCGCGUGUGUGAAGAAGGCCCUCGGGUUAUAAAGCACUUUCAGUGAGGAAGAACGCCUGGUGGUUAAUACCCAUCAGGAAAGACAUCACUCACAGAAGAAGCACCGGCUAACUCCGUGCCAGCAGCCGCGGUAAUACGGAGGGUGCGAGCGUUAAUCGGAAUUACUGGGCGUAAAGCGCGCGUAGGUGGCUUGAUAAGCCGGUUGUGAAAGCCCCGGGCUCAACCUGGGAACGGCAUCCGGAACUGUCAAGCUAGAGUGCAGGAGAGGAAGGUAGAAUUCCCGGUGUAGCGGUGAAAUGCGUAGAGAUCGGGAGGAAUACCAGUGGCGAAGGCGGCCUUCUGGACUGACACUGACACUGAGGUGCGAAAGCGUGGGUAGCAAACAGGAUUAGAUACCCUGGUAGUC